AACCUUAUGGACCUGCGGGCGUAUACCUGCGGAAGGAUCAUUAAACAUAUUCACAGGGGGUCAGACCCAAGGUGCGUGCAAAACAUGUGCUUUGGCCUGCUCUGUCUGGAUAUUCUACCCAUGUCUUUUGCGUACUACUUGUUUCCUUGGUAGGCUUGCCUGCCAAUAGGACACUAUACAACCUUUUGUAAUUGCAAUCCGCGUCAGAAAUAAUUUAAUUAUUAAAACUUUUAACAAUGG
This 240-nucleotide unclassified non-coding RNA is filed under the name soil metagenome. RNAcentral describes it as "partial contains 5.8S ribosomal RNA, internal transcribed spacer 2, and large subunit ribosomal RNA". The record is from RNAcentral.